AGCAUUUUGAUGACAUUUGACCAUUACAAAGAAUAACUCAUUUUGCAGCAAUUGUGGACAACUAGAUUCAACUGAAGCUGAAACUGUUCCACUGGGAAAUGUGCUAAAAGAAAGGAGGAGUCAGAGUUCUUUAUUUGUGCAAAUAAGGGAGGUGAAAACCUUAUAUUCCUUAGAAUCACCCCCUAGGACUUGUUCCUGCAGGAUAUUUUUCACAGAACCCAUAUAGGCUUACUAAGGUGCCCAGGCAAUUUUAAAAAAACACACCUGCUUGUUAUCAGCAUUUUCUCUUGGACCAAUAUAAGCAUCCUGGUAGUAAGAAUCUCUUUUGCAGGAUUAGAUUUAGGCUGCAGAAGGCUGUUCUGUGUUUCACCUUUGUUGCUGCUUCACAAGUGCAGUGGGACAGCUUUCCCUUCCAGACCUGGCUCUCUUAUAGCGUAUUCCCAGGGUGCCACUUGAGGCGUGUCACAGAAAAGUCUCAGCAACCUGCGAGGAAGGGAAAUGGUUGGUCAAUGGAAACGCAGCAUUUGGAAAGGUGUGUGUUUGCUACUAAUUAAAACUCAUCGCCUGGGCUCCAGCUGGUGGCAUUACAAAUGGGAGGAGGGCUCCUGCAGCACGGUAGCUAAGGACUUGCAGACAGAGCCUUCACAUCUCCACUUUGCCUUUCUGCUUUUACUAACAGCCCCCUCCAAAACUGAAGAAUGA
RNAcentral lists this long non-coding RNA (702 nucleotides) under Anas platyrhynchos platyrhynchos (common mallard). Its description in RNAcentral is "lncRNA (ENSAPLG00000022955.1)". The record is from RNAcentral. Lineage: Eukaryota; Metazoa; Chordata; Aves; Anseriformes; Anatidae.